GUCUUCGUGGUGUAGUGGUCAGCACGCUUGACAUGUAACCGAGAGGUCCGUGGUUCGAUUCCUGGCGAAGGCG
RNAcentral lists this transfer RNA (73 nucleotides) under Stegodyphus mimosarum. It matches the Rfam family "tRNA". From Rfam's summary of the family: Transfer RNA (tRNA) molecules are approximately 80 nucleotides in length. Their secondary structure includes four short double-helical elements and three loops (D, anti-codon, and T loops). Lineage: Eukaryota; Metazoa; Arthropoda; Arachnida; Araneae; Eresidae. The record is from Rfam by way of RNAcentral.